Long non-coding RNA from Rhododendron vialii, 2721 nucleotides. RefSeq lists it as uncharacterized. Lineage: Eukaryota; Viridiplantae; Streptophyta; Magnoliopsida; Ericales; Ericaceae. The transcript has 2 exons. The record is from RefSeq and is a predicted model, not a curated record.
UUCCCUUCUAGACAUAGCAACAAACAAAAAACAAAUCACGCACAAGCGAACACACAAUCAAAAUACAUGGUUCUUCAAAUUCAGGUACGUCCACGGGAGAUAUAUCUUCCACUAUAUGAAAAAUAAGAGAUUACAAUAUGAGAUAAGAAAAACCCUCUCGAGCUCCUAACCCGGCUCAUACAUUACUUUUCACUCACCCCCAACAUCUCUAUUUUUCUCUCACAUCUACUCUCUCUCUCACUCACAACUCACGGUGGGGGAGGCCCCAAAGGGGCUCCCGGACUUCUCUCUUCUCUCUCAGUCCCUCUCUGUUUUUCCCCACACCCUCUUCACACACGGCACAAACUGCCCCUUUUAUAUUUGUCCAAAAGCUUCUGACCAUAAUUAAUGCUCCUUGCAACAUACACCAAUGCCAGCACACACCACACACUUUUCUCUUUCUUUUUCUUUUUCUUUUUUUCCGGUUUAUUUUCCUUUUUUCACAUUGGGGCAAAACCCAUCAAUUAAAGGAUUUUUCUUGUUAUAUAGCUUGAAAGAACUGUAUUGUUCCUCUAUAAACCUCCAUUAGUUCUGAUUUACAUAUUUUUCAUAGCUCACGAUCUAUUUGCUGACAACAUUAGAAAUGUUGGAGGUGAAAAUGUAGCUUUUACAUGUUGGUUUACUCCAAAGUGAGGUGAAUAAAUUCUGAAAGGGAGAACAACCGGGAGCCAACCAAAGGCUGUCGGCUGAUGAUCAGAUGGGUGCUCACAAUGGUCGAGACUACAGAAAAGCAGAGCAAUGCAAAGAGAUACCCGGUCUGAAUAUGAGUGUUUUCAUUGAAAACAGCCAGAAUUUCAUUAGUCUCAAUUAGAUACAAAAUAGAUUAAGGGGAAAAUGGGCUAAAAGGAGAAGGGAAACGCAUUGAAUGAAGAAUGCCCUCGCCCAAGCUCCCAAAAGCCACAACUACCCAGGCCAAAAGCCCCAGACACACGAAAAACUGUGGAAGGGCCCUUGGCUUGGGGACCCUCUAAUGCCCAAAAUCUUAACCCCUGACCCACAGAUAGAGAAUUGCAGGAAGGUGAGUGAUUUAAUUGAUGAAGACCGGCAUCAGUGGAAGGAGAUAUUGAUAAAGGAGGUUUUCAAUCAGAGGGAUGUCGAGCAGAUUCUUAGUCUACCAUUGAGUAAUACAGGUCAGGUGGACAGACGGAUUUGGGGGAGAAGUUCAAUGAGCGUAUGUGGUCACUAAGGAAUUACGAAGUAGGCAGAGAGGACAGAUUGGGGACAGGGGGCAAACGAGUGGGAGUAGUCUGGAUGAAACAAAAUGGAAGCGGAUAUGGCACAUCAAAGCACCAAUGAAGAUUGAAUUCUUUCUUUGGCGUAGUCUGCAGAAUAUUUUACCGGUGGAUAGUGCGCACUGGAACAAAGGCAAAUUCCAAUGGAGGGUAUAUGUCAAGUAUGUGGAUUGGAACAGGAGACAACUUCUCAUGCACUCCUGCAAUGUGAUCGAGCCGUAAGAGUUUGGUUGCUAACCCCUUUUCGGUUCCAGCCUGAAGUACCAGUGGACCAGCAGUUUGGAGAGAUUUGGCAUAGGAUGGGCCCCACAACUUCUGGGAAAAUAGACUGGGAUCAACUAGGCUUGUUUGCGAUAAUUUGCUGGAACAUUCGGAGAGCCAGAGACGAAUGGAUAUUCAAUAAGAAAUGGGUGGCAGAGACAGUGAUACUGGAUAAGGCUUUAUGUGAAUUCAAUGAGUUUUGCGAAGCAUUAGAAGAGAAGGUUUUAAGGGGUUUACAAAGGCGGGACCAGGGGACUGUGAAUUCAUGGGAACCGGCUCCACCCUUAGUUUCACUGAAGAUUAACGUGGAUGGCGCUUUUGAUCAGGCGAGGAAAAAAGGAGGGCUGGGGUUCGUAAUUCGAGAUGACUGGGGUCGGGUCUAAUUUCUUCCUUAUCCUCAUAUAGCUAUUCGUGGUUGAUCAUAUCCAACACUACUCUCUCCUCUCGGUUGCUUUCCAAGUUGCAAAAUGAUAAAAAUGCUAUUUUCAAAUUUGAAACAGCUGUACUUAACAAUCGUAAUCCUAUUAAUAAAAUCAAUUAAUCCCCACCUCUAAAUAUUUAGCAUUCUACUUCUAUAAAUUGUGCAUCCAGAUUCUAGUUCUCUACAUUGAUCUCAAUCUUUUUCUCUCUACCAAACUUAUAAGGCUCGAGGAAGGAGAUUAAAUAGUUCUUCCAUACAAGAAAUGGCUGGGAAAAGGGGAGCAAUAAUGGUCGCGAUGUUGUGCAUGAUAGUGGUGCUGGUGCAAGCUGCGCAAGACAUCAACGGCAACGAAAAGGUGAAUUGCAUGCCGGAGUGCUACCUUCAGUGCAUGCAAAUGAGGGUUUUUACCUGGAGCGAAUGCAAGCAUGUUUGCAUUCACACUUGCACGAAGCUUGUCUGUGAUGCCUUGAUGAAAUUGAAACGUGGUGUUCGAAUGGAGAGAACAGAGAAGGCGGUUGAAUAUGGAUUGUCAUUGACUCUUUUUCGGUAGAAUCCAGGAGAUCGAAGAAGAGACUUGAACGGUUCGCAUGCGUUGCUUAGAGCCGGUUCAGUUAUAAUACCUUAUUCGCUUGUUUCUUAUUUUAAUUGGUUGCCGAAAAAGUUAAUGUAUUUUUUCUUUUUGGUUGUCGCUUGUGAAAGGUCCCUUGCUCUUGUUAUUUGAUUGUACGAUGAAUUCAUAAAUGUUAACCAAAGUUUAUUUUCAUUUAA